Molecule: non-coding RNA, 72 nt
Organism: Gymnothorax javanicus (giant moray)
Lineage: Eukaryota; Metazoa; Chordata; Actinopteri; Anguilliformes; Muraenidae
Source: the annotation of a GenBank genome assembly
AAUGGUUUAGCCUAGUGGUUAAGGUGUAAGGCUACAACUCAGGUGACCGGGGUUUGAGUCCCUGAACAGGUA